AGAAUCAACGCUGGCGGCGUGCCUAACACAUGCAAGUCGAACGAGAAAGUGGAGCAAUCCAUAAGUAAAGUGGCGCACGGGUGAGUAACACGUGACUAACCUACCCUGGAGUGGGGAAUAACUGAGGGAAACCUUAGCUAAUACCGCAUAACACCUACGGGUCAAAGGAGCAAUUCGCUUUGGGAGGGGUCGCGGCAGAUUAGCUAGUUGGCGGGGUAAUGGCCCACCAAGGCGAUGAUCUGUA
This 244-nucleotide ribosomal RNA is filed under the name uncultured bacterium. RNAcentral's name for it is "partial small subunit ribosomal RNA". It matches the Rfam family "Bacterial small subunit ribosomal RNA", at positions 26 to 285 of the family's 1533-position model. The record is from RNAcentral.